Antechinus flavipes (yellow-footed antechinus) is the source of this 5609-nucleotide long non-coding RNA. RefSeq lists it as uncharacterized. The record is from RefSeq and is a predicted model, not a curated record. The transcript is spliced from 2 exons. NCBI's taxonomy places the organism in Eukaryota, Metazoa, Chordata, Mammalia, Dasyuromorphia, Dasyuridae.
GCGUGCGCGGCGGGCCGGCCCCUGGCGCUCUCGCCUCGCUCGGCCGGGCUCCCCUCGGCCGGCUCCCGGCAGCCUCGGUCUCAACCUCGCUAUGAGUCUGGGCCUCGGGGUCUCGCGGCUCGCUACGGAGAACGAGAGUGCACGCGCCCUCACUGAUGCCGCCGCGCGCGCGCACGCGGCCCCCUCGUCGGCUAUCCGCCCGCGCGCUCCGGCUCCCGCGCUCUCGGUGUCUCACACGCUCAACCCUCGCAGCCGGGGAGCCAGACACAGACACACCUCUCGAAGGCUGUAGACCGGAGGAAAGGAACGGGGCGGGUCCGGGAUCCCCGGGGGGCGGAUGUUUAUUUGGGGGAGGGGCUCGAGACCCGGAGCGAGCUGACUGGCCCGGAGCUGCGGAGCCGCCGUCGUAGCAGCCCGGCAGGGGCGGGCCCGAGGGGAGGAGGCGGGGCCCAAGCCCUUCGGCAAUCUCCGUCGCCUCCAGCCAGGAGGGCCCGAGCCCGAGCCGACCCGGGCUGCAGGGAAGGAAUCGGCAAAGUUCGGGAAUCUCCGGGAGGCGAGGCGGGAGAGUAAAAGAAAAGGAAGGAUGUUUAAGCCUCAAAAUCCCUGACACCUGGAAUUAAAAGCCUGCCUCAGCUGGGUGUCUGGAAGCACCAAAUGGUGUCCAAGAAGUCACUGCUGCUCUGCACCACUGGAACUCGACACUCCAGACCUCAGGCAGGAGGCAAACUGGGACACUGAGCCUGGGAACCACCCAGAUCCGGGGCCCCUGCUCCGUGAAGUCACCUCCUUGCAGGAAAAACAAUUACAGGCCUUGGAGGGAAGGGGGGGUAGCAGUGAUUCAGAGCUGCCCCCAGGAUCCCGCCUUUGAACUGGCACAAACCAAGGAACUUCUGGGAAAUGCCCAAAGCAAACAGGCUUGCCUCCCUCCCUCCAACAGAAGACCAGAGGUACUCAAGAGCUUGGAUUCCCCUGAGCUUCCUCUAAGUAACAAGAAAAAGCGACCAGAAUAGACAGGCUGUUCCUACUCAGCCAUGGCUUGCAUUUUACAAAGGCGAGAGAAACAUCCCAUCACACUCAGGGUGAGGAGAAAGAGGAAGCAAGAGCAGACUCCUGCCAUGUGGCAGACUGAUCCCAGAGCAGAUACCCACCCUAAUGAGAAACUGGAUUCCGGCUAAGACAAAUACGGGCUUUUUAAAGCUCAUUCCACCACCAAAGCGGCCCCAGUAGACAGCAGCGUGGCCCUCUGACAUUGGCAUCCCUCAUCCCCUUUGAGCCUGGACUUUAUUGAACAUGGUUCUGCCUGUGGGCUAAAGAGCUCGCUCUAGCCUUAGCAUUCUCCACAUAAUGAGUGUGUCUCGUUUCUAUUUCUGUAGAGUUUGAUGAGGGAUGAUAACAGGGUAAUUGAAUUCUUUUUUUUCUUUCGGUGCCAGCCUCCCUGCCCUCUGGCUCUGAGGUUUCAUGCAUUGUCCUCCUGGCUUUUUAAAUUUCCUUUCUUACAGUUGGCAUGGAAGGGGAGGGAAGCUUUCUUACAUUUUAUCUUCCUAGAGAAUAAUAUCUAAUAUGUCUAUAGUAAGUGUGUGGACCAUGGGAUUUUACAACUGGAAGGAUUCCAACGAUAGUCUCCUUGUGCCAUAGAUUAGGAAAUUGUAGGCUCAGAUAAUGUAAGAAACUUCCUCAAAGUUUUGCUUCCCCAUCCAGAGUUGGGAAAAGGGGUCAUUUGAGGGAGCAAAAAGAAGGAGGUCCUUAAAAAAGAUGAUUAUUUUUCCCCUAAAUGUCACUAGACACAGUGACAUCACAUAGUCCAUGCUUACUAAAUUCUUGGUGACUGAUUGACCCAGGAUACCAGAGCAGUACAACAGAGAAAGCCCAGUAGUAUUUACUACGGGCCAGCCACUGUGCCAAGCGUGUUACAGAUAUUAUCUGACUUGAUCCUCACAACAGCCCAGCAAAGUUUUAUGGUUGAGGAGCCUGAGUCACUAGUCCAGAGUCAUGCAUCUAGGAACUAUCUGAGGCCAGAUUUGAACUUUAGUUUUCCUGACUCCACACUCAGUGUUCUAGCCAUGGAGCUACUUAGUUACACUGGACAUCACAUCGUCAAUUGAGAGCUAGAGGAAACCUCCUAGGUCCUCUCAUCCAACUUGCUGAGAUCCAUAAAGGUGAAGUGAUUUGCCCAGUGUCCCACAGGCAGUGUUACAGGUGAGAGUUGAACAUUGUCACCCUCUGGCUUCCCACACUGUUCCUUCUGCUUCCAGAUCCCAUGAAUAAGUCUCUACUGACCCAGCCUUCGGGCACUUGGGACCCUGCUGCCUCUGUGUGGUUCUAGGUAAAUGCCAUCAAGAAAGGAAAUAUGAGGAGAGAAAGCCAGAGUUAAAGGGAUCAACACAUCUAGACCUGAUGAGAGUCAGGAUUCAUUUUGAGAUUCAUUUUGGAGAGAGGAAAGAGAACCAGAAUGCAUUUCACCAAAAUCCCCUUACCUCACCAGCCUUGACCAUGCUCUCCAUAUCUACAAGGAAACAUGGAAGGAAAGAGGGAAAGAGAUGAGAAAUAUUUUACAAAAUUAUACCUCUUCCUGUGUCCUGCCCCACUUGAAGAACUGGGAGACCAGAAGUUUAACUGUCAGAAGGCCCAAGGAUCUAUGCCAGUUUCCCCCCAAUUCAAUUCAAUAAAACAUAUCUAAGCACCUACUGUGUGCAAGAGAGUAGAAUCAAUUUCUGUUUCUCGGGGAACACAGCUUAAAAGCCUGGCAGUAUCUUCAAUAGAAAUUGAAAGAUGAUCAGCUCAGUUUUGGACAUUUAUUGAUUGACUGAGAUCCCUACAGGACCUCUGUGAGGAGAUCCAAGCUUUUAUAGUUACAACUAGAAGGUAGGAUGUCAUGGGAGAGGAUAUAAUGGAAGGAGGUAAUUCAUUCCACUCUCUUAUUCUUCCAGAUGAUGUAAAGCACCAUUUAUCUAUUUGUGUAUCUAUACUUACAGGACCAUAGAUUUAGAACUGGAAGGGACCAGAGAUGUUAUUUUGACCAACCUUUUCAUUUUAUAGCAGAAAAGAACUAUAGCUUAGAGUGGUCAAGGGCUUGUUCAGAGUUCCAAAGUAACAAGUGUCUCGGGAUUUAUUAGGCCCUCCUGAUUUCCAAGUCAAGAGUUCUCUCCAGAGUACAUACAAAAUAUGAGGCUAUCAAUAAGAAUAACAUUGGGUCUUGAUUAUAUAAAUAUGGGAAGCCAUCUGUAUAGAGAUGAUCUAUAUGAGAAUUGAUACCCAGAUGAGAGAGAGGGAGAAAGGGAGGGGGAAUGAGAGGGGAACAAGGAAGGUAGAAGAGAGGAAGGAGAGAAGAGAAAGAAAGAAGAGAAAAGGGAGGCAAGUCCGGUCCUUGGGAGGACCUGAGCUUAGGGAUUCACAAUCCAGCAAAGCAAACUUGGAAGGGAAAAAAAAAAAACAGUCUAAGAGUGAGGAAAAGGACAGAUAAGAGAAUUUUUAAAGAUUCUUGUCCUAGAAGCAGAGGAAGAAAGGACCAUCCAAGAAGACAGGAUAGUCAACUGUGUUAAAUGUUACAACCGAUCAAAAAGGAUGAGGACCCAGAAAAAAAAAAAAAGCAUCUGAUUUAACAGUUAAGAGAUUAUUGGCCCCCCGCCAGCUGGGUGAGAGCCUUUUCUCUGGAGUGGUAAGGUCUGAAGCCAAAUUGCCAGGUGAUGAGAAGUGAGUGGGUGGUUAAGAAGUGGAGGCAACCACUGCAGGCAAUUCUUUCUAGGAGUCUGGCAACUGAAGGAGGAGAGCAACGGAGGGAUGCAGGGUCAAAAGUCUUCAGGUUUUUAUGGGAUGGGGUGGGUAUCCAUAGAUAAAGCCCCAACUCCACAGAAUGACAUUCUCCUCUCUCCAGCUCCAUCUUCCUCCUCUUCCCCCUCCUCCACUUAUUUUUUCUCAUAUAUACAAAUGUCAGCCCACAAAAAAAUAAAAAUAUAAUGAUGACUAGUGGGUUUUUUUGAGCAAAGUCGGGGUUCCUAAAAUAGCCUUCCCAAUAAUGGAAUAUCCUAGAAAGAAGGUUGUGACCAGUUUGGAAAGGCCCUUCUCCCCAGUUGGCUGUCACAUAAGAAAUCUCUGUUAAAUUCACAGUUUUCUCCUCUAAGGACAAGGAUUCCACCCUACAUUACUCACCUAACCCAUUCUCCUCCCCUCUUCACUUGGAAACUCUUUUUAGAUAUCAUGCUGCAAGAGCCCAGGCAGUUAGGUUACUAAUUGGAUUGAGCACUGGAUGGAAUCAGGAAGGUCUGGGUUCAAAUCCAGUCUCUCCUAUGUACUAGCUACUAUGUGAUUCUGGGUAAGUAACUUAACCUCCAUCUCCCUCAGUUUCCUUAUCUAUAAAAUAGGGCUAUGGCAUCUGCCUCCCAGGGUUAUUGUGAGGCCACAAAUAAGAUAAUUGUAAAGACAAAACCUGACACAUCCUAGGCACUUAAUAAAUUAUUGUUUCCUUCAUUCUCCCUGUAACUAAGCCAUUGGUCCUAGUUUUAGUUUUUUCAGAGAAAUGUAAAGAGACUUGUAGGAUUUUAUAUGAAAGGGAAUGUAAAUAUCAAAUAAUUCUACCCUUUUACUUUACAGAUAAGGAAACUAAGGCCCAGAAAAGGAAAUAACUCAAUGAAAGACACAGAAGUAGCUGAAAUCCAACCAGGUCUUGAAACCUGAUUCUUUUCUAAUUCACCUUUUGUAAAAAUAAGUUGUAUUAAUGUCCCAUCUUUUUAACAUGACAGGAGAUAUCCUUGACACCCCUCCCACCCUCUUGUAAACAAAGAAAAACAAUUUAAAAAAACAACCAGCACAGUAACUCUGAAUGGCAUAAAACAUGUUCCAUACACAUAACUUGGAGUCACUCAUCUGAAUUCAUCUGCUUCUGAAUUUUCUUUUCAUUUACAUUUUUAUAAUUAUUGAAUUCAUAAUUUCUUCUGGUAAAAAAUAAUCCAUUCUACUUUUAUGCCCCAUUUUGUUCAGUCAUUCUCCAAUCAGUGCACAUUGUUUCCUAUUUAUUAAAAGUGAUAGUAAGUACUUAGUAAAUGCUUGUUGACUUAUAGAUAGAACCUUGUAUUCUACCUCUUACACUGGAAGUAGAGUAAGAGAUUGAUAAAUCAACAAUUUAGUAAAUUGGUAAAGAGGACGGGACCUGAAGUCAGGAAAAUCUGAAUCCAAAUCCCUAGUUUGAUUCUUCCUGGCCAGAUGACUAUGGGAAAGUCACUCAGGUCUCGGAAGCUAAGUUUCCUCAUCUCUAAAAUGAGGAUAUUGGACUAAGGUCCAUUCCAAACUAAAGUGUCCUGACUCAGACAAAUUCUCUCUUCACCACAUAAGACUGGCUAUCCAAGAGUUUGCUCAAUUAAGAUAUACAGGCAUGGGGUAGCUCUGUGGCGUAGUGGAUAAAGCACCAGCCCUGAAGUAGGAGUUCAAAUCUGUUCUCAGACACUUAACACUUCCUAGCUGUGUGAAAAAAAAAAAAAAAAAGAUAUACAGGCAUGCACAUACAUAUUCUACCACACAUACAUACACCCCAGAGUUGGGGAAGUAUGAGGGGAAGGAAGGAAGCCAAAAAAAAAGGAAGGAGAGAGGAAGAAAAGAUGGAUGGAGAAGGAAGAAAG